UACGUAGGUGGCGAGCGUUGUCCGGAUUUACUGGGCGUAAAGGGAGCGUAGGCGGACUUUUAAGUGAGAUGUGAAAUACCCGGGCUCAACUUGGGUGCUGCAUUUCAAACUGGAAGUCUAGAGUGCAGGAGAGGAGAAUGGAAUUCCUAGUGUAGCGGUGAAAUGCGUAGAGAUUAGGAAGAACACCAGUGGCGAAGGCGAUUCUCUGGACUGUAACUGACGCUGAGGCGCGAAAGCGUGGGGAGCAAACAGGAUUAGAUACCCCU
This 266-nucleotide ribosomal RNA is filed under the name uncultured prokaryote. RNAcentral describes it as "partial 16S ribosomal RNA". It matches the Rfam family "Bacterial small subunit ribosomal RNA", at positions 524 to 788 of the family's 1533-position model. The record is from RNAcentral.